RNAcentral lists this transfer RNA (86 nucleotides) under pig gut metagenome. It matches the Rfam family "tRNA". Rfam says of the family: Transfer RNA (tRNA) molecules are approximately 80 nucleotides in length. The record is from RNAcentral.
GAGAAGUGGCCGAGUGGUUGAAGGCGCUCGCCUGGAAAGCGGGUAUACGUUCAUAGCGUAUCGAGGGUUCGAAUCCCUCCUCCUCC